UGGGGAAUCAUGGUCAAUGGGCGAAAGCCUGAACCUGCGACGCCGCGUGAGUGAUGAAGGUCGUAAGAUCGUAAAACUCUUUUCAGGGAUCUUAAAGCCUGUCUGUCAACAACAGGCAGGUCUGACUCUCCCUGGAAGAAGCCCCAGCCAACUACGUGCCUGCAGCUGCGGUAAUACGUAGGGGGCGAGCGUUAUUCGGAAUUACUGGGUGUAAAGGGUAUGUAGGCGGCCCUUCAAGUCGCGUGUCAAAGUCCAGUGCUCAACGCUGGGUGUGCGCGCGAUACUGACGGGCUUGAGGGCUGGAGAGGUGAGCGGAAUUCCCGGUGUAGUGGUUAAAUACGUAGAGAUCGGGAGGAACACCAGCGGCGCAGGCGGCUCACUAGACAGUUUCUGACGCUAAGAUACGAAAGCGUGGGGAUGAAACA
This 425-nucleotide ribosomal RNA is filed under the name uncultured prokaryote. Its description in RNAcentral is "bacterial SSU rRNA". It matches the Rfam family "Bacterial small subunit ribosomal RNA", at positions 355 to 774 of the family's 1533-position model. The record is from RNAcentral.